This 1148-nucleotide ribosomal RNA is filed under the name Escherichia coli. RNAcentral describes it as "bacterial LSU rRNA". It matches the Rfam family "Bacterial large subunit ribosomal RNA", at positions 398 to 1549 of the family's 2925-position model. The record is from RNAcentral. Lineage: Bacteria; Pseudomonadati; Pseudomonadota; Gammaproteobacteria; Enterobacterales; Enterobacteriaceae.
UGUGAGCUCGAUGAGUAGGGCGGGACACGUGGUAUCCUGUCUGAAUAUGGGGGGACCAUCCUCCAAGGCUAAAUACUCCUGACUGACCGAUAGUGAACCAGUACCGUGAGGGAAAGGCGAAAAGAACCCCGGCGAGGGGAGUGAAAAAGAACCUGAAACCGUGUACGUACAAGCAGUGGGAGCACGCUUAGGCGUGUGACUGCGUACCUUUUGUAUAAUGGGUCAGCGACUUAUAUUCUGUAGCAAGGUUAACCGAAUAGGGGAGCCGAAGGGAAACCGAGUCUUAACUGGGCGUUAAGUUGCAGGGUAUAGACCCGAAACCCGGUGAUCUAGCCAUGGGCAGGUUGAAGGUUGGGUAACACUAACUGGAGGACCGAACCGACUAAUGUUGAAAAAUUAGCGGAUGACUUGUGGCUGGGGGUGAAAGGCCAAUCAAACCGGGAGAUAGCUGGUUCUCCCCGAAAGCUAUUUAGGUAGCGCCUCGUGAAUUCAUCUCCGGGGGUAGAGCACUGUUUCGGCAAGGGGGUCAUCCCGACUUACCAACCCGAUGCAAACUGCGAAUACCGGAGAAUGUUAUCACGGGAGACACACGGCGGGUGCUAACGUCCGUCGUGAAGAGGGAAACAACCCAGACCGCCAGCUAAGGUCCCAAAGUCAUGGUUAAGUGGGAAACGAUGUGGGAAGGCCCAGACAGCCAGGAUGUUGGCUUAGAAGCAGCCAUCAUUUAAAGAAAGCGUAAUAGCUCACUGGUCGAGUCGGCCUGCGCGGAAGAUGUAACGGGGCUAAACCAUGCACCGAAGCUGCGGCAGCGACGCUGAUGCGUUGUUGGGUAGGGGAGCGUUCUGUAAGCCUGCGAAGGUGUGCUGUGAGGCAUGCUGGAGGUAUCAGAAGUGCGAAUGCUGACAUAAGUAACGAUAAAGCGGGUGAAAAGCCCGCUCGCCGGAAGACCAAGGGUUCCUGUCCAACGUUAAUCGGGGCAGGGUGAGUCGACCCCUAAGGCGAGGCCGAAAGGCGUAGUCGAUGGGAAACAGGUUAAUAUUCCUGUACUUGGUGUUACUGCGAAGGGGGGACGGAGAAGGCUAUGUUGGCCGGGCGACGGUUGUCCCGGUUUAAGCGUGUAGGCUGGUUUUCCAGGCAAAUCCGGAAAA